Molecule: ribosomal RNA, 312 nt
Filed under: Triticum aestivum (bread wheat)
Lineage: Eukaryota; Viridiplantae; Streptophyta; Magnoliopsida; Poales; Poaceae
Description: partial small subunit ribosomal RNA
Source: RNAcentral
AUGAACAAGGAGACGCUCAUGAAGAUGGUCGGCGCCGUCCGGACCAACGACAAGGGCGCCGUGCGCCGGAAGAAGAAGGCGGUGCACAAGACGGCGACUAGGGAUGACAAGCGGCUGCAGAGCAUGCUCAAGAGGGUUGGAAUCAACACCAUCCCCACCAUCGAGGAGGUCAACAUCUUCAAGGACGACCUCGUCAUCCAGUUCCUCAACCCCAAAGUGCAAGCGUCCAUCGCCACAAACACAUGGGUGGUCAGUGGGACUCCCUAGACCAAGAGUAUGGAUCCAUCUCACUUCUCUAUCAUUUUUCCAUGA